RNAcentral lists this ribosomal RNA (343 nucleotides) under uncultured Latescibacterota bacterium. RNAcentral's name for it is "bacterial SSU rRNA". It matches the Rfam family "Bacterial small subunit ribosomal RNA", at positions 29 to 351 of the family's 1533-position model. Lineage: Bacteria; Pseudomonadati; Candidatus Latescibacterota. The record is from RNAcentral.
AACGAACGUUGGCGGCGUGGAUUAGGCAUGCAAGUCGUACGAGAUGCCAGAGCUUGCUCUGGUUAUCUAGUGGCGAACGGGUGAGUAACGCGUGGGAAACCUGCCCUCGAGAUGGGGAUAACACUUCCAACGAGGUGCUAAAUACCCGGAUACGACCACAUUUCCGCAUGGUUGUGUGGUGAAAGAUGGCCUCUGCUUGCAAGCUAUCACUCGAGGAUGGUCCCGCGUCCCAUUAGCUAGUUGGUGAGGUAACGGCCCACCAAGGCGACGAUGGGUAGCUGGUCUGAGAGGAUGGUCCAGCCACACUGGGACUGAGAUACGGCCCAGACACCUACGGGAGCUG